UCGGAUAUGGUGUAACGGCUAACAUUACCGCCUCUCAUGGACUGAGGUUCAGGACGCGGUAGCUCGGGGUUCGAUUCCCCGUAUCCGAA
This is a non-coding RNA of Russula compacta, 89 nucleotides long. NCBI's taxonomy places the organism in Eukaryota, Fungi, Basidiomycota, Agaricomycetes, Russulales, Russulaceae. The record is from the annotation of a GenBank genome assembly.